AAAUUGAAGAGUUUGAUCAUGGCUCAGAUUGAACGCUGGCGGCAGGCCUAACACAUGCAAGUCGAACGGUAACAGGAAGCAGCUUGCUGCUUCGCUGACGAGUGGCGGACGGGUGAGUAAUGUCUGGGAAACUGCCUGAUGGAGGGGGAUAACUACUGGAAACGGUGGCUAAUACCGCAUAACGUCGCAAGACCAAAGAGGGGGACCUUCGGGCCUCUUGCCAUCAGAUGUGCCCAGAUGGGAUUAGCUUGUUGGUGAGGUAACGGCUCACCAAGGCGACGAUCCCUAGCUGGUCUGAGAGGAUGACCAGCCACACUGGAACUGAGACACGGUUCAGACUCCUACGGGAGGCAGCAGUGGGGAAUAUUGCACAAUGGGCGCAAGCCUGAUGCAGCCAUGCCGCGUGUAUGAAGAAGGCCUUCGGGUUGUAAAGUACUUUCAGCGGGGAGGAAGGUGUUGCGGUUAAUAACCGCAGCAAUUGACGUUACCCGCAGAAGAAGCACCGGCUAACUCCGUGCCAGCAGCCGCGGUAAUACGGAGGGUGCAAGCGUUAAUCGGAAUUACUGGGCGUAAAGCGCACGCAGGCGGUCUGUCAAGUCGGAUGUGAAAUCCCCGGGCUCAACCUGGGAACUGC
This 634-nucleotide ribosomal RNA is filed under the name Salmonella enterica. RNAcentral describes it as "bacterial SSU rRNA". It matches the Rfam family "Bacterial small subunit ribosomal RNA", at positions 1 to 624 of the family's 1533-position model. Lineage: Bacteria; Pseudomonadati; Pseudomonadota; Gammaproteobacteria; Enterobacterales; Enterobacteriaceae. The record is from RNAcentral.